RNAcentral lists this Y RNA (99 nucleotides) under Propithecus coquereli (Coquerel's sifaka). RNAcentral describes it as "Y RNA (ENSPCOG00000006263.1)". It matches the Rfam family "Y RNA". Rfam says of the family: Y RNAs are components of the Ro ribonucleoprotein particle (Ro RNP), in association with Ro60 and La proteins. The Y RNAs and Ro60 and La proteins are well conserved, but the function of the Ro RNP is not known. The record is from RNAcentral. Lineage: Eukaryota; Metazoa; Chordata; Mammalia; Primates; Indriidae.
GACUGGUCCAAGUGCAGUGGUUUUUACAACUAAUUGAUCAUAACCAGUUACAGGUUUCUUUGCUCCUUCUCCACUCCCACUGCUUCACUGACUACCUAA